GUGAGGAAUAUUGGUCAAUGGGCGCGAGCCUGAACCAGCCAUCCCGCGUGAAGGAAGACUGCCCUAUGGGUUGUAAACUUCUUUUCUGUUCCAAGAACGGCCAGUACGUGUACUGGUGUGACGGUAGAACAGGAAUAAGCAUCGGCUAACUCCGUGCCAGCAGCCGCGGUAAUACGGAGGAUGCGAGCGUUAUCCGGAUUCAUUGGGUUUAAAGGGUGCGUAGGCGGCUUCUUAAGUCAGUGGUGAAAUCCUGCGGCUCAACCGUAGAACUGCCAUUGAAACUGGGGAGCUUGAAUACAGAUGAGGUAGGCGGAAUGAGUAGUGUAGCGGUGAAAUGCAUAGAUAUUACUCAGAACACCGAUUGCGUAGGCAGCUUACUAAACUGAUAUUGACGCUGAGGCACGAAAGCGUGGGGAGCGAACAGGAUUAGAUACCCUGGUAGUCCACGCCGUAAACGAUGUUCACUCGCUGUUUGCGAUACACAGUAAGCGGCUAAGCGAAAGCAUUAAGUGAACCACCUGGGGAGUACGUCGGCAACGGUGAAACUUAAAGGAAUUGCCGG
RNAcentral lists this ribosomal RNA (562 nucleotides) under uncultured bacterium. RNAcentral's name for it is "bacterial SSU rRNA". It matches the Rfam family "Bacterial small subunit ribosomal RNA", at positions 354 to 916 of the family's 1533-position model. The record is from RNAcentral.